Molecule: ribosomal RNA, 402 nt
Filed under: bacterium
Lineage: Bacteria
Description: partial 16S ribosomal RNA
Rfam family: Bacterial small subunit ribosomal RNA
Source: RNAcentral
UGGGGAAUUUUGCACAAUGGGGUAAACCCUGAUGCAGCGACGCCGCGUGAUUUAGAAGGCCUUCGUGUUGUAAAAAUCUUUUCUAUGGGAAGAAAAUGACAGUACCAUAGGAAUAAGGACCGGCUAAUUACGUGCCAGCAGCCGCGGUAAUACGUAAGGUCCGAGCGUUGUCCGGAAUCAUUGGGCGUAAAGGGUACGUAGGCGGGUAAGCAAGUUAGAAGUGAAAUCCUAUAGCUCAACUAUAGUAAGCUUUUAAAACUGCUCAUCUUGAGGUAUGGAAGGGAAAGUGGAAUUCCUAGUGUAGCGGUGAAAUGCGCAGAUAUUAGGAGGAAUACCGGUGGCGAAGGCGACUUUCUGGCCAUAACCUGACGCUGAGAUACGAAAGCGUGGGUAGCAAACAGG